GACGAACGCUGGCGGCGUGCUUAACACAUGCAAGUCGAACGGAAAGGCCCUGCUUUUGUGGGGUGCUCGAGUGGCGAACGGGUGAGUAACACGUGAGUAACCUGCCCUUGACUUUGGGAUAACUUCAGGAAACUGGGGCUCAUACCGGAUAGGAGCUCCUGCUGCAUGGUGGGGGUUGGAAAGUUUCGGCGGUUGGGGAUGGACUCGCGGCUUAUCAGCUUGUUGGUUGGGUAGUGGCUUACCAAGGCUUUGACGGGUAGCCGGCCUGAGAGGGUGACCGGCCACAUUGGGCCUGAGAUACGGCACAGACUCCUACGGGAGGCAGCAGUGGGGAAUAUUGCACAAUGGGCGGAAGCCUGAUGCAGCAACGCCGCGUGCGGGAUGACGGCCUUCGGGUUGUAAACCGCUUUCGCCUGUGACGAAGCGUGAGUGACGGUAAUGGGUAAAGAAGCACCGGCUAACUACGUG
RNAcentral lists this ribosomal RNA (468 nucleotides) under uncultured bacterium. Its description in RNAcentral is "partial 16S ribosomal RNA". It matches the Rfam family "Bacterial small subunit ribosomal RNA", at positions 28 to 507 of the family's 1533-position model. The record is from RNAcentral.